AGAGUUUGAUCAUGGCUCAGGAUGAACGCUAGCUACAGGCUUAACACAUGCAAGUCGAGGGGCAGCAUGGUCUUAGCUUGCUAAGGCCGAUGGCGACCGGCGCACGGGUGAGUAACGCGUAUCCAACCUGCCUUACACUCUUGGACAGCCUUCUGAAAGGGAGAUUAAUACAAGAUGUUAUCAUGAGUAAGCAUUUUCGCAUGAUUAAAGGUUUACCGGUGUAAGAUGGGGAUGCGUUCCAUUAGAUAGUAGGCGGGGUAACGGCCGACCUAGUCUUCGAUGGAUAGGGGUUCUGGAGAGGAAGGUCCCCCAGACUUGGAACUGAGACACGGUCCAAACGUCCUACGGGAGCA
RNAcentral lists this ribosomal RNA (353 nucleotides) under uncultured bacterium. RNAcentral describes it as "bacterial SSU rRNA". It matches the Rfam family "Bacterial small subunit ribosomal RNA", at positions 8 to 350 of the family's 1533-position model. The record is from RNAcentral.